AGCGCUCGCAGAGCCUCGCUCAGCCGAAGUCGAGGUCUCUCCCGGGCUGGCAGCGGCUGGCAAAGGACCCCAAAAGGGAGGGGGCAAGGCCGCCCGAAGGACCCCCCCCCCCCACGAUCGGCAGAUGCCCAGCGAAAAAAGGUAGCGCGGAGGGAACCCAACUCACCCAUCACGGCAGCCGGGCAGCCCUGCUUGGAUUCCCGCCCCCUCUCUUUAAAUGGGGGGGGGGGCUCCUUGGCUUAACUCCAACGCAGCUCUUAAGAAAGUCCCCCCCCCCAAGCCGGGCAGUUGGGCUCUUUCCCCCCGGGGGGGGGGGGAAAGCAAUAAAAGCCAAUCGAGGAGACUCCCGAAGUGACCGGCGCUGCAAGAGGGAGGCCCGGCCCGGCCCCAGCCAGCCGCGACCCGGAUCUCCGCCCGGGAGAAGGGAACCCACCGCUGGCGAGGACGUGCGAGCGGCUGGCGCGCGUGUUCCCAGGAGGAGGAAGAGGAGGCGGAGGAGGAGGAGGCGGGAGGGUUAACAGCGAGAGAUCCGGUCCCAACUCGCCGGAUCGAAAGAGAUCCAGCGCCGGGGAGAUCCGCGGAGGGGGCGAGGCGGGGACUCGAACCCGCCGCCCCGAAAGUGCAACGGAGCAACUUGGAAAGGAGCGGAAGGAAAAACAACAACAACAAAAAAACCCAUCCGGAGUUUUCUUUGCGUCGCCCGGGAGCUCUGAGUCACUUACAAGCUCGUAAACUACUUUGCUAAUGUUUCCUCUUCUGGAGAAAUGAAAUGCAACAUAUAUUUGAAAAGAACUGGGGAAAUUAACGGAGAAGACGAUAUUACUUAUGUUUUUCUGCUUAUGAUCUGGCACCACAGUUAUUAGGAAUAUCCACAUCCCUUCGGAAACAGACCAGAAGAGACAUUUUGAUUGACCAAAACUGCAGCGUUCAUUCACAAAGUUAACAUCGAACUGUGUUAGCGAGCAAAUGCUCCACUUCAAAACAUGGAAAUGGUAUUUAAUGUGCAUGCACUAAGAUCAAUUAUUAUUUAUUGAGUCCUCCCUUUAAGGAGCUUACAAUGAUGUGGGGUAGAAGAAUCCUGUGGGGUAGAAGAGAAGAGGAAGACUACGGAUUUUUCUUUACCUUUAAGUAGUCUCAAAGCAGCUUACAAACUCCUUUU
Sphaerodactylus townsendi is the source of this 1159-nucleotide long non-coding RNA. RefSeq lists it as uncharacterized. The transcript is spliced from 3 exons. Lineage: Eukaryota; Metazoa; Chordata; Lepidosauria; Squamata; Sphaerodactylidae. The record is from RefSeq and is a predicted model, not a curated record.